Molecule: ribosomal RNA, 301 nt
Filed under: uncultured bacterium
Lineage: Bacteria
Description: partial 16S ribosomal RNA
Rfam family: Bacterial small subunit ribosomal RNA
Source: RNAcentral
CAGCCGCCACGGGAAUACGUAGGGUGCGAGCGUUAAUCGGAAUUACUGGGCGUAAAGCGUGCGCAGGCGGUUCGUUAAGACAGAUGUGAAAUCCCCGGGCUUAACCUGGGAACUGCAUUUGUGACUGACGGGCUAGAGUAUGGCAGAGGGGGGUAGAAUUCCACGUGUAGCAGUGAAAUGCGUAGAGAUGUGGAGGAAUACCGAUGGCGAAGGCAGCCCCCUGGGCCAAUACUGACGCUCAUGCACGAAAGCGUGGGGAGCAAACAGGAUUAGAUACCCCCGUAGUCCCUGUCUCUUAUAC